AACGAACGCUGGCGGCAGGCCUAACACAUGCAAGUCGAGCGAGACCUUCGGGUCUAGCGGCGGACGGGUGAGUAACGCGUGGGAACGUGCCCUUUUCUACGGAAUAGCCUCUGGAAACUGAGCGUAAUACCGAAUACGCGCUUUGGGGGCAUGACUCAUCGGAGAAGGAUCGGCCCGCGUUGGAUUAGGUAGUUGGUGGGGUAAUCGCCUACCAAAACUACGAUCCAUAGCUGGUUUGCGAGGAUGCUCAGCCACACUGGGACUGCGACACGGCCCAGAAUCCGGAGGGAGGCAGUAAUGGGGAAUCCUAGACAAGGGGGGCAACCCUGAGCUAGCCACGCCGCGUGAGUGAUGACGGCCUUAGGGUUGCAAAGCUCCUUCAGCUGGGAAGAUAAUGACGGUACCAGCAGAAGAAGCCCCGGCUAACUCCGUG
RNAcentral lists this ribosomal RNA (433 nucleotides) under uncultured bacterium. RNAcentral describes it as "partial 16S ribosomal RNA". It matches the Rfam family "Bacterial small subunit ribosomal RNA", at positions 29 to 507 of the family's 1533-position model. The record is from RNAcentral.